RNAcentral lists this ribosomal RNA (260 nucleotides) under uncultured bacterium. Its description in RNAcentral is "partial 16S ribosomal RNA". It matches the Rfam family "Bacterial small subunit ribosomal RNA", at positions 94 to 354 of the family's 1533-position model. The record is from RNAcentral.
AGUGGCGGACGGGUGAGUAACGCGUGGGUAACCUACCUCAUACAGGGGGAUAACAGUUGGAAACGACCGCUAAUACCGCAUAACCCGCUAGUAUCGCAUGAUACAGACGGAAAAGAUUUAUCGGUGUGAGAUGGACCCGCGUCUGAUUAGCCAGUUGGCAGGGUAACGGCCUACCAAAGCAACGAUCAGUAGCCGGCCUGAGAGGGUGAACGGCCACAUUGGGACUGAGACACGGCCCAAACUCCUACGGAAGGCAGCAG